This 858-nucleotide long non-coding RNA is filed under the name Gossypium barbadense (sea-island cotton). RNAcentral describes it as "long non-coding RNA (GBAR_LNC014213)". The record is from RNAcentral. Lineage: Eukaryota; Viridiplantae; Streptophyta; Magnoliopsida; Malvales; Malvaceae.
CGCCAAUGAGCAGGAGGCUGGUUAUCCAUAUCUUCUUUAAUUGGAUCUCAAUAUUGAGGCUCUUGAUUUAAUCUCACCUCAUUGAUAGUAGCACUCAAAGUUCGAAGUGCGGCAGCCUGUUCGUCUAACUGUUGUUGGAAUUUUUUAAUGUGUCAUAGACAUCAUUAUGGUCAUUAUCACCUUGACCAAUCUUAGACAUUUUCAAAAACCUGCAAAACAAACACUCAACACUCAAAAAGAAAAAUUAGCAAACCUCAUUGUUAAUCACUCAAAAAGAAAAAUUAAAUUCUCAAUGAGGUAGAAUUCAGUCUUGUGAGUUCUUUAGUAGAGUCUAUACCAACCAAUUAGAAAGUGUAUGAACCGAAACUACCAAAGAGUCCUAAUUUGUACUAAUAUGCCAAAAACUGACGAGACACCAAUUAAUUUGUGUUGCACCGAGGAAGAAUUGUGCACACCUUAAAAUCCUACUAACACAAGAAACAAGAAGGUGUUAGAUAGUGUAAAGGAAGAAUAAAGGAAAACAAAUGAAAACCUACAACUAAGAAUCAAUAAAAAUUGUUGAAAUCGAAAAACCUGAAAAACUUCGGAAUAACUUGACAACUUUGUUCGAGGUGUUCCCCAUCUCCAAAAAUCACGAAAUUAAAUAUGGAAUGUCCUUAAAUAUUUAAUUUUUUAUCUGGAAAGUUUGGGCACCAAACUCAACCCGCUAAAUCUUUUUUAAAUUUUUAUUGGAUUUCGUCUUUUUCAAUUUUUUUUGACUUUUUCGACUGAAUAUUUUGCGGGAAUUUUUUUUUAUAUUCAAUCACAUUUCCACAAAUAUGUAUGUAAAAUUUUAGAUCAAUCGGACAACGUUUACAC